GAACUACAUACAGUGUAGGUUAAUCAACCAAUGAGUAUUUUAAUCACUGGUCUAUAAGAAGUAAUCACCAUCAACAUAGCAAAAAAGUGACAGGAUCUGACAGUUAUUAAAAAUAAUUAUUCAUAAAGGCGAAAUGGUUAGACAGGUGUAAAGUAAUGUAUAAAACUUAAUCACCUUUUCGUCAUACACCUCAUAAAAUCGACAUCUUCGAUAUUUUAAAAGUAAACAUAGAUAAGAAAAGGAUACUAGUAUUAGAUAGAUUUUUACGACCUCACAAAACAUUUUAUUUGUUAGUGUACCUAUGUGUAAACGUUUUGCUUCAUAUCGAUGGUUUUUUCACGAUUUCACUUAUGAUGAAAUUUCCAAUAAUUGUAUUUUUUGUUGUCUUUUGCUGUGGGCUUUCGAAAUCUUCAAUAUGUAGCAUAAACGAUUCGAAAAUUUUCUGUGCAGGCAUGGAAGAAACUGAUUUUUAUUCGAAUAUGAUUGUUACCAUUGCAUCACAAGACAUAGUUGAUUUGUCAAUAACCAAUUCUUCAAUUAGCGGUUUGAACUCAGCAAUGUUUCAGAAGUACCAAUACGUACAAACCCUCUCUAUAACACACACUAAACUUAAAUAUAUAAAAGAAAGAACUUUUCAUAGCCUAGAUAACUUACAAGUUUUGAAUUUGUCGCAUAAUUGUAUAGACAGUUUUAAUUUUAAGGCAUUAUCAAGUAUAGGCAACUUAACUUCAUUAGAUCUUUCAUAUAAUAAGUUAGAGUCUAUAUAUAAUUUUAAUUUAAACUCAUUUAAUUCACUAGUUCUUAACAUCUCAGACAACAAAAUGACAAACUUAGAACCAGAAUUUAUUCAGAAACUUAACAUGAGCAAUGAUUUUUAUAUAAUAAUAAACAAUAACCCUUGGAACUGCAGUGAAAGUAAAUGGCAGAAAUAUUUAAGUCCGGCCUUAUUACUUGCCUUUUGUUUGUACCCACAAGAUAGUAGAGAGAAUGAUGAACAAACAUAUUAUAAAAACGCCGUAUUUCAAGCCGUGGAAGAUAAUACAAGCCGUGUUUUUCCAACACAAGAGGAAAAUAAUAUUGUAGUGCAAUUCUUGGAAGAGAAUACGACGCGUAUUCAAAUGCCACAGAACAAUACAAUUAAUUGUAAUUACCUAAAAAAUUGUGCCUCGUAUUGCGUAUAUUGGUGUUUAGGAGGUGUAUGGAUUGGCAUUAUUUUAGGAAAUAUUUGUACAAUCAAACGAUUAAUUUUUUCGUCUGCAAACACUCAGGAUCAGGAAACUCAGCAACGACUAUACUGUGUUGAUGGUUGACGUCACUGUAAAAAAAUGAAAAUGAUACAAGAAGUAUUCUAAAGCACAAUACUAUUUAUAAAGGAAUAAAAUUUGAACUUGAAGACUGAUGAAGAAUAAAAUUUGAUUGUUUAGUUGUUAAGAAAAUAUAAUUUUAUAAUUAUAACUUUUGUUAAAAAAUGUUAAAUAAAUUGGUUAACCUAAAAA
Diabrotica virgifera virgifera (western corn rootworm) is the source of this 1496-nucleotide RNA transcript. It is a transcript of the gene named leucine-rich repeat, immunoglobulin-like domain and transmembrane domain-containing protein 3, with no coding region annotated. Lineage: Eukaryota; Metazoa; Arthropoda; Insecta; Coleoptera; Chrysomelidae. The record is from RefSeq and is a predicted model, not a curated record. The transcript has 4 exons.